This 220-nucleotide long non-coding RNA is filed under the name Lathyrus oleraceus (garden pea). Its description in RNAcentral is "Pisum sativum (pea) long non-coding RNA (PSAT_LNC020376)". The record is from RNAcentral. Lineage: Eukaryota; Viridiplantae; Streptophyta; Magnoliopsida; Fabales; Fabaceae.
AAUGAUCAUGUUGUAGAUGAACUCAAAGGGAUCUGGAAUGAUGUAUCAGAUGAAGUUUCAAAUUGCAAGCACUUGGUUUCACAAAAGUUGACAUUGGCCAAGUCCUUUAGCAUAGGAAUGUUGCCUAAAUUCUAAGUCCAUUUGUCCAAGAUCAAGCCAACAACCCACACAAAAGUUUUUUAGGGUUUUUUGUUGUUAUUAUGUAAAUUAAUGGUCAAAC